GACGAACGCUGGCGGCGUGCUUAACACAUGCAAGUCGAACGGAAAGGCCCUGCUUUUGUGGGGUGCUCGAGUGGCGAACGGGUGAGUAACACGUGAGUAACCUGCCCUUGACUUUGGGAUAACUUCAGGAAACUGGGGCUAAUACCGGAUAGGAGCUCCUGCUGCAUGGUGGGGGUUGGAAAGUUUCGGCGUUUGGGGAUGGACUCGCGGCUUAUCAGCUUGUUGGUGGGGUAGUGGCUUACCAAGGCUUUGACGGGUAGCCGGCCUGGGAGGGUGACCGGGCACAUUGGGACUGAGGUACGGCCCAGACGCCUACGGGAGGCAGCAGUGGGGAGUAUUGCACAAUGGGCGGAAGCCUGAUGCAGCAACGCCGCGUGCGGGAUGACGGCCUUCGGGUUGUAAACCGCUUUCGCCUGUGACGAAGCGUGAGUGACGGUAAUGGGUAAAGAAGCACCGGCUAACUACGUG
This 468-nucleotide ribosomal RNA is filed under the name uncultured bacterium. RNAcentral describes it as "partial 16S ribosomal RNA". It matches the Rfam family "Bacterial small subunit ribosomal RNA", at positions 28 to 507 of the family's 1533-position model. The record is from RNAcentral.